UACGGGGGGAGCAAGCGUUGUCCGGAUUUACUGGGCGUAAAGGGCGCGUAGGCGGUCAGCACAAGUCAGUUGUGAAAUCUCCGGGCUUAACUCGGAAAGGUCAACUGAUACUGUGCGACUAGAGUGCGGAAGGGGCAACUGGAAUUCUUGGUGUAGCGGUGAAAUGCGUAGAUAUCAAGAGGAACACCUGCGGCGAAGGCGGGUUGCUGGGCCGACACUGACGCUGAGGCGCGAAAGCCAGGGGAGCGAACGGG
This 254-nucleotide ribosomal RNA is filed under the name uncultured bacterium. Its description in RNAcentral is "partial 16S ribosomal RNA". It matches the Rfam family "Bacterial small subunit ribosomal RNA", at positions 524 to 776 of the family's 1533-position model. The record is from RNAcentral.